Molecule: long non-coding RNA, 182 nt
Organism: Haliotis rufescens (red abalone)
Lineage: Eukaryota; Metazoa; Mollusca; Gastropoda; Lepetellida; Haliotidae
Exons: 3
Source: RefSeq, a predicted model, not a curated record
UUGCGAUGGUCACACACCUGGAGAGAUGCAUUCUGAUGUACGAGCUGGCGGUCCUUGUUUCCCAAUCACCAUGCCAGUAAAUGAAGGACAUUUCCAAAAGAACUGCAUGGAGUUCAAAAGAUCAGCCCCAGCACCUGGAAGGAAUACUCGAGAACAGUUGAACCUACUGACGUCCUUUGUGG